Molecule: ribosomal RNA, 2927 nt
Filed under: Escherichia coli
Lineage: Bacteria; Pseudomonadati; Pseudomonadota; Gammaproteobacteria; Enterobacterales; Enterobacteriaceae
Description: bacterial LSU rRNA
Rfam family: Bacterial large subunit ribosomal RNA
Source: RNAcentral
GGGUUGUGAGGUUAAGCGACUAAGCGUACACGGUGGAUGCCCUGGCAGUCAGAGGCGAUGAAGGACGUGCUAAUCUGCGAUAAGCGUCGGUAAGGUGAUAUGAACCGUUAUAACCGGCGAUUUCCGAAUGGGGAAACCCAGUGUGUUUCGACACACUAUCAUUAACUGAAUCCAUAGGUUAAUGAGGCGAACCGGGGGAACUGAAACAUCUAAGUACCCCGAGGAAAAGAAAUCAACCGAGAUUCCCCCAGUAGCGGCGAGCGAACGGGGAGCAGCCCAGAGCCUGAAUCAGUGUGUGUGUUAGUGGAAGCGUCUGGAAAGGCGCGCGAUACAGGGUGACAGCCCCGUACACAAAAAUGCACAUGCUGUGAGCUCGAUGAGUAGGGCGGGACACGUGGUAUCCUGUCUGAAUAUGGGGGGACCAUCCUCCAAGGCUAAAUACUCCUGACUGACCGAUAGUGAACCAGUACCGUGAGGGAAAGGCGAAAAGAACCCCGGCGAGGGGAGUGAAAAAGAACCUGAAACCGUGUACGUACAAGCAGUGGGAGCACGCUUAGGCGUGUGACUGCGUACCUUUUGUAUAAUGGGUCAGCGACUUAUAUUCUGUAGCAAGGUUAACCGAAUAGGGGAGCCGAAGGGAAACCGAGUCUUAACUGGGCGUUAAGUUGCAGGGUAUAGACCCGAAACCCGGUGAUCUAGCCAUGGGCAGGUUGAAGGUUGGGUAACACUAACUGGAGGACCGAACCGACUAAUGUUGAAAAAUUAGCGGAUGACUUGUGGCUGGGGGUGAAAGGCCAAUCAAACCGGGAGAUAGCUGGUUCUCCCCGAAAGCUAUUUAGGUAGCGCCUCGUGAAUUCAUCUCCGGGGGUAGAGCACUGUUUCGGCAAGGGGGUCAUCCCGACUUACCAACCCGAUGCAAACUGCGAAUACCGGAGAAUGUUAUCACGGGAGACACACGGCGGGUGCUAACGUCCGUCGUGAAGAGGGAAACAACCCAGACCGCCAGCUAAGGUCCCAAAGUCAUGGUUAAGUGGGAAACGAUGUGGGAAGGCCCAGACAGCCAGGAUGUUGGCUUAGAAGCAGCCAUCAUUUAAAGAAAGCGUAAUAGCUCACUGGUCGAGUCGGCCUGCGCGGAAGAUGUAACGGGGCUAAACCAUGCACCGAAGCUGCGGCAGCGACGCUGAUGCGUUGUUGGGUAGGGGAGCGUUCUGUAAGCCUGUGAAGGUGUGCUGUGAGGCAUGCUGGAGGUAUCAGAAGUGCGAAUGCUGACAUAAGUAACGAUAAAGCGGGUGAAAAGCCCGCUCGCCGGAAGACCAAGGGUUCCUGUCCAACGUUAAUCGGGGCAGGGUGAGUCGACCCCUAAGGCGAGGCCGAAAGGCGUAGUCGAUGGGAAACAGGUUAAUAUUCCUGUACUUGGUGUUACUGCGAAGGGGGGACGGAGAAGGCUAUGUUGGCCGGGCGACGGUUGUCCCGGUUUAAGCGUGUAGGCUGGUUUUCCAGGCAAAUCCGGAAAAUCAAGGCUGAGGCGUGAUGACGAGGCACUACGGUGCUGAAGCAACAAAUGCCCUGCUUCCAGGAAAAGCCUCUAAGCAUCAGGUAACAUCAAAUCGUACCCCAAACCGACACAGGUGGUCAGGUAGAGAAUACCAAGGCGCUUGAGAGAACUCGGGUGAAGGAACUAGGCAAAAUGGUGCCGUAACUUCGGGAGAAGGCACGCUGAUAUGUAGGUGAAGUCCCUCGCGGAUGGAGCUGAAAUCAGUCGAAGAUACCAGCUGGCUGCAACUGUUUAUUAAAAACACAGCACUGUGCAAACACGAAAGUGGACGUAUACGGUGUGACGCCUGCCCGGUGCCGGAAGGUUAAUUGAUGGGGUUAGCCGCAAGGCGAAGCUCUUGAUCGAAGCCCCGGUAAACGGCGGCCGUAACUAUAACGGUCCUAAGGUAGCGAAAUUCCUUGUCGGGUAAGUUCCGACCUGCACGAAUGGCGUAAUGAUGGCCAGGCUGUCUCCACCCGAGACUCAGUGAAAUUGAACUCGCUGUGAAGAUGCAGUGUACCCGCGGCAAGACGGAAAGACCCCGUGAACCUUUACUAUAGCUUGACACUGAACAUUGAGCCUUGAUGUGUAGGAUAGGUGGGAGGCUUAGAAGUGUGGACGCCAGUCUGCAUGGAGCCGACCUUGAAAUACCACCCUUUAAUGUUUGAUGUUCUAACGUUGACCCGUAAUCCGGGUUGCGGACAGUGUCUGGUGGGUAGUUUGACUGGGGCGGUCUCCUCCUAAAGAGUAACGGAGGAGCACGAAGGUUGGCUAAUCCUGGUCGGACAUCAGGAGGUUAGUGCAAUGGCAUAAGCCAGCUUGACUGCGAGCGUGACGGCGCGAGCAGGUGCGAAAGCAGGUCAUAGUGAUCCGGUGGUUCUGAAUGGAAGGGCCAUCGCUCAACGGAUAAAAGGUACUCCGGGGAUAACAGGCUGAUACCGCCCAAGAGUUCAUAUCGACGGCGGUGUUUGGCACCUCGAUGUCGGCUCAUCACAUCCUGGGGCUGAAGUAGGUCCCAAGGGUAUGGCUGUUCGCCAUUUAAAGUGGUACGCGAGCUGGGUUUAGAACGUCGUGAGACAGUUCGGUCCCUAUCUGCCGUGGGCGCUGGAGAACUGAGGGGGGCUGCUCCUAGUACGAGAGGACCGGAGUGGACGCAUCACUGGUGUUCGGGUUGUCAUGCCAAUGGCACUGCCCGGUAGCUAAAUGCGGAAGAGAUAAGUGCUGAAAGCAUCUAAGCACGAAACUUGCCCCGAGAUGAGUUCUCCCUGACUCCUUGAGAGUCCUGAAGGAACGUUGAAGACGACGACGUUGAUAGGCCGGGUGUGUAAGCGCAGCGAUGCGUUGAGCUAACCGGUACUAAUGAACCGUGAGGCUUAACCUUACAACGCCGAAG